RNAcentral lists this ribosomal RNA (497 nucleotides) under uncultured bacterium. RNAcentral describes it as "partial 16S ribosomal RNA". It matches the Rfam family "Bacterial small subunit ribosomal RNA", at positions 28 to 507 of the family's 1533-position model. The record is from RNAcentral.
GAUGAACGCUGGCGGCGUGCCUAAUACAUGCAAGUCGAGCGAACGGACUAGAAGCUUGCUUCUCUGAUGUUAGCGGCGGACGGGUGAGUAACACGUGGAUAACCUACCUAUAAGACUGGGAUAACUUCGGGAAACCGUAGCUAAUACCGGAUAAUAUUUUGAACCGCAUGGUUCAAAAGUGAAAGACGGUCUUGCUGUCACUUAUAGAUGGAUCCGCGCUGCAUUAGCUAGUUGGUAAGGUAACGGCUUACCAAGGCAACGAUGCAUAGCCGACCUGAGAGGGUGAUCGGCCACACUGGAACUGAGACACGGUCCAGACUCCUGCGGGAGGCAGCAGUAGGGAAUCUUCCGCAAUGGGCGAAAGCCUGACGGAGCAACGCCGCGUGAGUGAUGAAGGUCUUCGGAUCGUAAAACUCUGUUAUUAGGGAAGAACAUAUGUGUAAGUAACUGUGCACAUCUUGACGGUACCUAAUCAGAAAGCCACGGCUAACUACGUG